Molecule: non-coding RNA, 509 nt
Organism: Danio rerio (zebrafish)
Lineage: Eukaryota; Metazoa; Chordata; Actinopteri; Cypriniformes; Danionidae
Source: RefSeq, a predicted model, not a curated record
CCAUUGCGUCCUGACGUGGCAGCGGCACCAGAGACACGUAGCUGUUCAGAUAGACUGGAGACUGCAGCUGCGCAGCUGACGGCCAGGAUCUCCAGCAGGACACAGAGCAGCAGCAGCAGCAGAUUCAUGACUGAUGAUGGAGACUCACAGACGAACAGAAACACACUGACGACGGCUCUGCUUCUGCUGCUCGGAUUCCUCACCUGCGGAAGAAAGCUUCACCUCCGCAUUAUCAGGUUUCCUAGUUUCUAUUUCAGUCUCCAAGGCCCCAAUGUCGUCUGAGAACACGGACAAUAUAUAAUUGAGACUCGCUUAACCGAAAACCCUGUGAUCUUUUGUCUUGGGUCUGAUUUUGGGAGGAUGAGUACACUGUAAAAUCACUGGAUCAGUAGUAUCAGUACACUUUUUAAAAAAAAAGCUGGGGUCCACACAAUUGAUUUGAUAAGUUUUUACAAAUUUAAGUGGAUUGCACAUAAAACAAGUUUCUGUGAAUAAAAACUGAAGAGUCA